Molecule: long non-coding RNA, 1347 nt
Organism: Oreochromis aureus
Lineage: Eukaryota; Metazoa; Chordata; Actinopteri; Cichliformes; Cichlidae
Source: Ensembl
GCCUGAGCGGGGAUUUUUUUUAUAUAUAUCAAACUGCUGCUUACGUCUCAUUGCUUUGGGCAAUGAGACAGGAAAUGUCUGUCGUUUCACACCUCUAAACCCACUUACAGCGACGUGUAAGGCAACAGUGGCAAGUUCAGAAAAAGGACGACUUCCUCUCACCUCACGCUCACUUCUGUUACUGUUUGAGUUGUCCGUUUCCUGUAAAUCAAUUUAUGAUGAAACCAGAACAUCACAAGGGAAAGACAAGUUAAAUGAUUUUACAGGGGUUUAAUGGAAUAAUCUACAUUAGUAAAGCUCAGUUUUAUCAAUUACGAUAAAAAGUCGAUUUUUUAGUUACAGAUUUCAUUGUUGUGUGAGAGAGUGCAUGGAUUAACUGAUGUGAACAUCUGCUUAUGCUUUUAGUGUAUAAGAAGCAAUUCAAGACUCCUUGAAAAUUAGCAGCAGGAAACUACUGGAUGAUUAAAAUAUCUAUGGCAGGAGGAAAAUACUAAAGGUAUGUUCUCUUGCUUGCUAAUGCUUUUAAUCACUUUUCUGCAGCAGUUUGAACCCAUCAGAAUGAUGUAUUUCUGUGGUGGAGCGUCUGUGAGAGUAACUAUUAUUGGUGGCAAAGCUCCUAGCAAACACAACAAGCAGAGGAUGAGCAGACAAAGGAAACAAAAUGACUUGUAACCUGCUCAUUUUGUCUCGUUCACUACUCAGCUCACAUCUGUAUGAUGCAACUUGAUUAUUAUUGCUUAGUUUCAUAAAAAUCUCCCUAAUUUGUUUCUGCAGCAGCAGGAGAGUAAACACAUGUCAAAACAUGCUGCAGUCAGAGUUUGUUAAGGUGUGAUAAAAGGAAGGAAGUAGAGAAGAAGAAGUUUUAACGUCUUUGUUUUCUUCACAGUUCUCGGCGUCUCGUGUGCUUCUUCUUCUUUCUCUUCACACAAAGUCGUAGAAGUUUUCAGACGUGUCACAGCUGGAUGUGAGGAUGGGACCCACUUUCCUCUGUGAGCUGGGCCUAUUCUUUCUCUGUACGCUCCUCUGCAGCGGACACGCUCAAGAUGCUGUGCUAACUGUUAAACCCAGCUCGACCUUGUUCAUUGAAGAGACUGUUAGCUUCAAAUGUGACAUGAAGGAAGGAGAACACACUGACUGGGAAUACAAACUCAACAAGGAUGGUCGAGCCUUUAUCCAGUACAGCACAUACAAAAAUUACAGAAAACAAAUGAAGUCUCCCUCUGAUACUGGUAAAUACCAGUGCUCUGGUCAUAUGAAGAAAUCACAUUAUACAAAGAACAGUAAUACUGUCUCCCUAACUGUGCUGGCAGGUAAACCCAGGGCCACACUGACUCCAGGAUCAACUAU